CGCGGGGCUGGCUGGGAGGCCCGAGUUCGCAGGUGCCGAGCUCCGUCCGCCUUCCGCCGCUGCUGCGCGCUUGGGCCGCCCGCCCGCUCUCGCGCUGGGGCUCGGUUCGGGCUCAGCUGGCUCCCUCCGCCCCCCCGCCCGCGGCUCUGAUGUCAGAGGAGGAGGAGCCUGCGGCGGAGGGACUAGGGACUGGGAGGGUCCCCGUUUCACAGAAGGAACAACUGAGGCACAGAGAUGAAGGGUUCAGAAUCAGCAAUUGGUCAGAAGAAGAGUCGAAUUCGAACCCAAGUCUGUCUGAUGCCGGAAGCUGGCCAUUUUCACCCUGUCUCUUGGAGUUUCUUUCAGACCAUUUCCGUGAGCUCCGUUAAGAGUGAUCUCCUCUACCUGGCAGGAAGCAUGGUGUGAGGCAGCCCCAACUUUCCAACUGAACCCAGCAAAAUAGGAGCUACACCCAGUUUCAUGUAUCAGUCUCAGGGAAGGACUCCGAUGGGCUCUGCUGGAGUGACAUGCCUAUGCCUUUACCCCCAGAACUGUUGCCAGAGGAAUAAGGUACUAUACAGGGAUCUUAGUUCCCCGACCAGGGAUCGAACCUGAGCCACAGCAGUGAAAGUGCCAAGUUCUAACCACUGGACCACCAGGGAGUUCCUUGUGUCAUAUUUUAGAUUCCACACGACAGAGAUGAGGAAGCAUUUGGCCUCCAUCAGCUGCUACUGGCUGCCACUGCACAGCUGGAAGGGACCCUACUUUAGGCAAAAGCUGACACCGUGGGAGUGUGGAGACACCUGGACCCUUGAUGGCCUUGCUGAGUUGCUGGAUUGGCCAACCCUGGAUGCCACCCUGCCCCAGGACCACCAAACCCCUAGCUAACACAUUUCAUUGUUGUUAAACCACCUUGAGCUGGGAUGUUCUGUUACCUGCGGCCACAAGUAUCUUCAGAAAGUUCUCCCUCAAUGAAUGACCAAGGCGAGUGGCCACAGGCUGAGAGCCCUCAAGCAUGCCCUCCUAAACUAUGCCACCCACACAAGUUCCUUUCUACCCCACAGUAACAGACAUUCAAAGAUUCUGGAUGCUUUUAAAAAAAACCCACAUCAGUCACUUUAUUCUUAAGUUUGUACUUUACAAAACCACAAGGGAGAAGUCCUUGAGGGUGAAAGGGGUAGGGGAGUGGGAGAUGGUGAAGAGGGGGACGAGGACAACCCAGAAAUGAAGUCCCCCCCAUCUUGGGGGACCAAGCAGAGACUGGGCCCCAGGCCAGCCCAGCAGGGCCUCUCGUGUCCUGGCUGUACAGAGCUGGGCCAAAAGACCUCAGGGAAGGGUCACAGCUUCUAGAGACUGUCGCUGUUAGACAGGCAGCCACAGGCUGAGGCUUCUGGCAGCCCAAAGAAGGAAGUGGGCCUCCCCCUCCCAAGCCAGGGGGAGGCAGCCUGAGGCAGGGGUGAGAGCUACCCGUCCAGCAGCUUUAGGAUGCUCUCACGCUCCUUCAGAGUCUUCCAGGCCUGGUCCUUCUCCUUCUUGGUGGGGGUCCGCUUCUUCUGCCGGGCAGCCAUGAUCUUGCGGAAGGCGUCCAUGACCUCAUUGUCUGCCAUGCGGACCCGCUGCCUCAGCUCCUGCCGACUCACCUCCUCCUUUGCCAGCCUGUGGGGACCAGCCAGCCAGGUGCCAUGGGAAGCCCACCAGAGUAGGGCUCCUCCCUCUUCCAGACUGAGCCCACCCCAAUACCCAGGGCUGCCACUCCUGUGGACCGUUUCAUACCAAAAAGCAAAGUAAUUGAGCCACGCUUACAUGGUGCCCUGUGCCAGGUACUACCUCUUCAAAAAUAUCAGCUCAGUUAAUCCUCCUAACAACCUUGUGAGGUAGGUACUAUUAUUCCUAUGUUACCAGUGAGGAAACUGAGGCUCAAGGAGGAUAAGAAAUGCCCCAAGAUCCCACAACUAGUGAGGAGGAGAUCUGAAUCAAGGCAGGCUUGCUCCAAACAAUCUUCUUUAAAAGGUGUUCUGGGGGCUUCCCUGGUGGCACAGUGGUUAAGAAUCCACCUGCCAAUGCAGGGGACACGGGUUCGAGCCCUGGUCCGGGAAGAUCCCACAUGCCGCGGAGCAACUAAGCCCGUGCGCCACAACUACUGAGCCUGCGCUCUAGAGCCCGUGAGCCAAAACUACUGAGCCUGUGUGCCACAACUACUGAGCCUGCGCUCUAGAGCCCGUGCUCUGCAACAAGAGAAGCCACUGCAAUGAGAAGCCUGUGCAAGGCAAUGAAGAGUAGCCGCAGCUCUCUUCAACUAGAGAAAGCCCGUGCACCGCAACGAAGACCCAAUGCAGCCAAAAAUAAAUAGAUGAAAUAAAUAAAUUUUAAAAAAGAAAGAAAAAAAAAAGGUGUUCUGGUGCCAGCAGAAGACCUGCUUACUUCAGCAUCCAAAUUCCAGAGCAACCUAAGGGUCUAGACAGCCUGAGGUCUACAGGAGGUGAGUGAGAUACCAAACUGACCCCUCCGAAUGGAACCUGACCUAUGAAUUCAAUUCAUGGUGGAGCUGGAAGGUCACUUAGAGAUCUAUCUAAUCCAACCUGUUAAUUUUUCAGAAGGGGAAGCUGCUGCUCAGGGCAGGAGAUGCCUUGCUUAAGGCCCUGCAGCUAGCCCAUGCAGGGCUGAGGGCUGCACGCUGGCCUUCUGAUAGCCAAGCUAGUUCCUUCACUGCCCAUUACUUCUAUAGCUGCACAUCCCCACUUCUCUCUCUCUCCCCUCCCCCUCCCUACCUCAGUACUCUUUCAUCUGUAUUUUCCUCUUCUUGCCCUUGAAAGGGAACUAGAAAGAGGCUUUGGAUUCAGCCUUGGGCUCUAGUCACAGCUUAGCUGUUUAUUGGCUGUGUGACCUUCAGCAGAGCACUCAUUUCACUGGGCCUUUAUUUCCUCAUUUGGUAAACAGGGAAAACUACCAUCUACUCCCUGGGCUAUAGCAGAGAUUAAGUAAGAGGGUGUACAUAAAGCCCCUGGCACAUGGUAGGCACUCAGUAUACCCUCAUCCUUAAAUACCCUAGCAGCUUGCCAGCAACUUCUUCUCCUUCUAAUGAUGCACAUCUUUACCAACCACUCGCGUGGUGACUGCAAGCCCUUCACCCUGCCUCUCUUCCUAACCCAGCACAACGUCUAAGAGACAGGCAGAGGUGGCCAAAUGAACGAGCGUGCCCUGCUCUGUUGGGGCUCUGUGAGGCGGAGACACAGCACCUGCCUACGAGGAGCAAGGGGACUUAGUUUGGCUGCUUCUCUAUCUCCCCAAUAAAAGGGUAGCCACUACCGUGAUCUCCUUACAGAUACCACCUGCACCCUUGUUGUGACCAGUGCAGGGCAAGAUGGAUGGGAAUGAAUAGAAAAUGAAUGACAUCGCACUAAAACAUUGGUCAGUUCCUGGUGAGGGGCUGGUAGUAAUCACAGAUGCUCAAGAAAAUGUUAACAGUUGAUAAACUGAGAUGGAGAGUAUACUGGUGUUUACUGUACUAUUCCGUCAGAUUUUCUGUGUGUGUGAAAUUUUUCACAAUAAAACUCGGGGGGAAAAAGAAAAUAAGCAUGGAAAGACUUAAAAAAUAAACCACGCAACAAUGCAAAUAUAGUUACCACCACUGAACCGUACACUUGAAAAUGGUUUAGAGGGUAAAUUUUGUGUUAUUUGUUUUUACCACAAUUAGAAGUGAAUAAGCAAGUCACAGAUGCCUGAGCUCUAGUCUGUGGAAUGAGAAUCUGUUUGAGACAAAACUAGUGGGGUGGUGCCCGGCACUGACAUUUUUUUCAAAGCCCUCCGGGUGAUUUAGACGCCCUGCCGGGUUUGGAAAGCCUGUCAUAAAGCUCCCGGAAGGUCACCAGCAUGGCCAAGGCCUCGCUGGCCACCCCCUGGCCCGGGCAUCCUGUCCACACUCACCUCAGCAGGUCGUGCUUCUUGGUGCGGUUGUGGGCACUGAGCGCUUUCAGCUCGGCCUGCCGUUUGCGCAGCUCCGCCAGAACUUCGUCCUCCGAGUCCUCUGCAGGGCGGUCCUCAGAUUCCAGCAGGCCCUGGGCGAUCAGCUCCUCCUUGAUGCGGCUCUCCAGGGACUUGGUAUGCGGCACACUGCAGGGAAAGGCAGUGCUCAGCUCAAGGGCCAGCCUGAAGGGGGGACCGCUCUGAGGUGCCCAAGGUUAGUGAACACCUUCCUUUCUCUUUGGGCACCGCCUCUCUAUCUAUCUACACGUAAAAAUACAGAGAGAGACACAUCUGGUCUUGUUGUAAACAUAAGCAACAGUUAUCAAUAUGCUAUGUAAUAUAAAAUACAGAAAAACCUACAAUGCUAACGAC
This is a long non-coding RNA of Eubalaena glacialis (North Atlantic right whale), 4314 nucleotides long. RefSeq lists it as uncharacterized. The record is from RefSeq and is a predicted model, not a curated record. The transcript is spliced from 5 exons. Lineage: Eukaryota; Metazoa; Chordata; Mammalia; Artiodactyla; Balaenidae.